This 246-nucleotide long non-coding RNA is filed under the name Phoenix dactylifera (date palm). RNAcentral's name for it is "long non-coding RNA (PDAC_LNC019681)". Lineage: Eukaryota; Viridiplantae; Streptophyta; Magnoliopsida; Arecales; Arecaceae. The record is from RNAcentral.
AGCUGUUUCAGCUUUUGCGGGAAGCUGAAAACAGCUUUUGGGAGGAAGCUCCAAUUUGGAGCUUUUAGGAGGAAGCUGUUUCAGCUUUUUCGGAAAGCUGUAUUUUUGACAAAAAUGUCCAUAUUAAAAUAACAUAAUUACAUAGUUUAUCUCUGUAUAAACCUAAAAAUCUGCUGGAGCCAAGAACCCAAGCCGUCAGACUCCCUUCCGUAAGAAAAUGUAUUUUUCUUUUCAAUUUUUGUAUGC